This 253-nucleotide ribosomal RNA is filed under the name uncultured bacterium. RNAcentral describes it as "partial 16S ribosomal RNA". It matches the Rfam family "Bacterial small subunit ribosomal RNA", at positions 524 to 776 of the family's 1533-position model. The record is from RNAcentral.
UACGUAGGUGGCAAGCGUUGUCCGGAUUUACUGGGCGUAAAGGAUGCGUAGGCGGAUUUUUAAGUGGGAUGUGAAAUACCCGAGCUCAACUUGGGUGCUGCAUUCCAAACUGGAAGUCUAGAGUGUGGGAGAGGAUAGUGGAAUUCCUAGUGUAGCGGUGAAAUGCGUAGAGAUUAGGAAGAACACCAGUGGCGAAGGCGACUAUCUGGACCAUAACUGACGCUGAGGCAUGAAAGCGUGGGGAGCAAACAGG